AAUAGAUACCCCGGUAGUCCACGCCGUAAACGAUGAGUGCUAGGUGUUGGGGGCAUCAGGCCCUCUGUGCCGAAGGAAACCCAAUAAGCACUCCGCCUGGGGAGUACGGCCGCAAGGCUGAAACUCAAAGGAAUUGACGGGGGCCCGCACAAGCGGUGGAGCAUGUGGUUUAAUUCGAAGCAACGCGAAGAACCUUACCAGGGCUUGACAUCCCGCUGACCGGUGCAGAGAUGCACCUUCCCUUCGGGGCAGCGGAGACAGGUGGUGCAUGGUUGUCGUCAGCUCGUGUCGUGAGAUGUUGGGUUCAGUCCUGCAACGAGCGCAACCCCUGCCCUUAGUUGCCAGCGGGUGAAGCCGGGCACUCUAGGGGGACAGCCGGUGAAAGCCGGAGGAAGGUGGGGAUGACGUCAAAUCAUCAUGCCCCUUAUGUCCUGGGCUACACACGUGCUACAAUGGCCGGUACAAAGGGCAGCGAACCCGUGAGGGGGAGCCAAUCCCAAAAAGCCGGUCUCAGUUCGGAUCGCAGG
RNAcentral lists this ribosomal RNA (527 nucleotides) under uncultured bacterium. RNAcentral's name for it is "bacterial SSU rRNA". It matches the Rfam family "Bacterial small subunit ribosomal RNA", at positions 777 to 1304 of the family's 1533-position model. The record is from RNAcentral.